Molecule: long non-coding RNA, 1295 nt
Filed under: Gallus gallus (chicken)
Lineage: Eukaryota; Metazoa; Chordata; Aves; Galliformes; Phasianidae
Description: lncRNA (ENSGALG00010019929.1)
Source: RNAcentral
GGAGAAGGAGCAGCCGGCACAGCUGCCAGCCCUUCCCGUUGGGUUUCCAGGCAGGAGUAAAACAAUGGCUGCUGAGAUAUGUUACAUGGAAUGGGAACCUGGACUACCUCUUGCACAAAGCUGCUGAGGAAAAGCAUACGACUUAGAGAUGCUUCCAAGUUUUCAUACGGCAUUUUGUGAAAUUUCUGGAGCAGGAAGUCAAAAACACCACUGCCAACUCCGCAGCCAUGGGGUGCGCUCCCAAGAUAGUCUGACAGUCUCGUUGUUCCAUUCACAACGUUGGGAUUAUGGGAUUCCUCUGGGAAGGACUGACUUGAUGCUAAGUGCCCUCUCGAAGUUCCAUUGUUUCCCCACAGAAACAGGUACCACUGAGAACAUCUCAGUUGUAAGGCUUCCUCCUUCACUCUCCCUCAGUGAUGCAGUACAGUACCCUCAUUCACACUGUGCUGAGUGAAGUGAGGGAUUUCUUUGUUCACAAGGCUGUGACAUCCACGCUCAGGCAGACACAAGCCAGGAUUAUUUGGCUGAAUGGAGCUACAGCUUAGGAUGGAAGUACUGAUCAGCAAAAGCACUGAGGAGUGCCUCUUAGAGCAUGAAAAAUUAGAAAAAACAAAACCUUGUCCCCAAAUCAUACUCAGACUCACCAGCAGCCUCUGCAGCACAGAUCAUUAUCAAAAGCUCCUCACUUAUAAGCAAACAACUGCAUAUUGCAUUCACUCCAUUUCCAAGUGCCCUCAAAACCUGCUGUAGAUAGAUUACUGUAGCUCCACUGAUAAAUAGUGCAGACUUUUCCUAUUUCUCCAAACUGAUGCACCACCUCUUUUUUUUUCUUUCUUUUUUUUUUUUAAACACUUUUUAUGAUUCACAUUCUCCCCUUAGUCACAGCAGUAAACACCUAAUGUCACUGGGCUUACAGAGAUCCACUGCUCUGAAAUGCUCCCCUGGCAGCUGAGCUGGGUUGCCAGGGUUGCUGUCAGCAGCUAGCCCUGGGAUAGAUGCAGUAUUACUGGCUUCAGAGCCAUUGGCAGCACACUGAAUGACUCAGUAUAGUCAAGAGCCUCAGCUACCACAACAAAUCUGCGUGGUCAGCAAUGCCCUCAGAUGCUGAGAGGUCACAACACUGGGGAGGCAGGAGAGGAGCAGCUCCAACAGCUCGCGCUGGAGACGCAGCAGGGAAUCUGGUUGAGGCCAGUGCUGCUGAUUCCCCCCCCUUCUACUUGGUGUAAGCAAGCAGAAAGACAUUUACUGUUUGUCAAUGUAUUCUUUUCGUUAGUUAAAAUAAAAUUCUGAGUGCC